This is a long non-coding RNA of Schistocerca gregaria, 999 nucleotides long. RefSeq lists it as uncharacterized. The transcript has 2 exons. Lineage: Eukaryota; Metazoa; Arthropoda; Insecta; Orthoptera; Acrididae. The record is from RefSeq and is a predicted model, not a curated record.
AUUAAUAUUAAUCAAUAUAACAAAAAAUAUUUUAACCAUAUGGUCCUUUCGUACUAAUAUGGAUUAACAAUCUUAGGAUAGAAACCGACCUGGCUCACGCCGGUCUGAACUCAGAUCAUGUAAGAAUUUAAAGGUCGAACAGACCUAAUCAUUGGGCUCCUGCACCCAAAAUUUUUCUUAAUCCAACAUCGAGGUCGCAAUCUGCUUUGUCGAUAUGAGCUCUCAAAAACAAUUACGCUGUUAUCCCUAAGGUAACUUAAUCUUAUGAUCAUAAAUUAUGGAUCAAAAUAACAAACAUAAAUAAAUGAUAUAAUAAUGAAGAGUUUAUCUAUUCUUCAUGUCACCCCAACAAAACAUCAUCAUUAAAUAUAGAAAGACAAACAAAAAACUAUAUAAAAGUAAAAUGUCAAGCUCUAUAGGGUCUUCUCGUCCUAAAGAAGAAUUUAAGCCUUUUGAAACAAAAGUUAAAUUCAAAAAUUUAUUAAGAGACAGUUGAUUUCUCGUCAAGCCAUUCAUUCCAGCCACUAAUUAAGAGACUAAUGAUUAUGCUACCUUUGCACGGUCAAAAUACCGCGGCUCUUUAAAAAUACGCUCAGUGAGCAGGCCAGACCUCAAAAUAUAAACAAGAGGACAUGUUUUUGAUAAACAGGCGGAAAUCAAUUUUGCCUAGUUCCUUAUAAUAAGUUCACAAGGUAAAAAUUUCAUACAAAUAAAUAUACUAAUUCUAUCAUUAUUACAAAAAUUUUAAAAUUAAAUUAAUAUUCUUAAUAAAAAACCUAAAAUAUUUAUAAAAUCAAAAUAAAAAAUAAUGAACUAAAACGUAAUCUUAAAGAUAGCUGGUUUAAAGCUUACUUUUAUAUUACUAUAAAAUAAAUUAUAGGUUAUUAACUUCAAAGCUUAUCCCUUAAAGAAUAAAUAAGUUAAUAUUUUUACUUAAAAAAUUAAAUAAAAACAAAUAACUUUAAAAAAUUAAAUUUUUUCUUAAGAAACUAGAUAUCU